RNAcentral lists this ribosomal RNA (253 nucleotides) under uncultured bacterium. RNAcentral describes it as "partial 16S ribosomal RNA". It matches the Rfam family "Bacterial small subunit ribosomal RNA", at positions 524 to 776 of the family's 1533-position model. The record is from RNAcentral.
UACGGAGGGUGCGAGCGUUAAUCGGAAUUACUGGGUGUAAAGCGCGCGUAGGCGGUUUGUUAAGUCAGCUGUGAAAGCCCCGGGCUCAACCUGGGAACUGCAGUUGAUACUGGCCGACUGGAGUACGAGAGAGGGAGGUAGAAUUCCAUGUGUAGCGGUGAAAUGCGUAGAUAUAUGGAGGAAUACCGGUGGCGAAGGCGGCCUCCUGGCUCGAUACUGACGCUGAGGUGCGAAAGCGUGGGGAUCAAACAGG